RNAcentral lists this long non-coding RNA (199 nucleotides) under Ananas comosus (pineapple). Its description in RNAcentral is "long non-coding RNA (ACOM_LNC001591)". Lineage: Eukaryota; Viridiplantae; Streptophyta; Magnoliopsida; Poales; Bromeliaceae. The record is from RNAcentral.
AUUAUUUUCGUAGGCUUUUUCGCUGCUAGUAUAGUUGGUAGAAAUAUAAUACGUAUUUUUUAGCUUUCAUCGAAAAAUGAUAAAAAAAUAGAAUUUAUUUCUACAACGUAGAGUUGUUUGAGAAUAAUAUUUUUAUAUUCAACACACUUCUUAAUAUCUCGACUUAAAACUUUCUGAAAGAUAUAAGAUGUGGUUGAUU